GAAGAAUCUCAACAUACAGUCCUCAGCAGCUUUAGCAUGGGCAACAAAUUAAGUCUCUGUAAAAGGCCCAAAGGACAGGGUUUGGUGAGAUUCUGGAGAGCUGGAAACAUGGAGGUUGACAGGAAUGUAAAGAAGAACUCAUUUACAUGCCAGGAGGGUGGAACACCCCAAUUCCAUGAGGAUAACUGCUCCUGUACUCCAGACCUCACCCCAUGUGUCUCUUCAUCUGGCUGGUUAUUUGUCCUUUAAGAUCUCCUUACUCAACCAGUAAAUGUGUCUUUACAUUGUUUUAGUCUUGAACUAGAAGAUGAAAGCAUCAAAUAAAGAAAUAUACUGUGGGUAUAUGGAUUACAAAAAAAGUGCUGGAUGUUCCAUGCCCUCAAACAUUGGACUCCAAGCUCUUCAGCUUUGGGACUUCAACUGGCUUCCUUGCUCCUCGGCUUACAGAUGGCCUAUUGUGGGACCCUGUGAUCGUGCAUACCCAGAAGCAAUACUU
RNAcentral lists this long non-coding RNA (496 nucleotides) under Homo sapiens (human). Its description in RNAcentral is "HSALNT0319892". Lineage: Eukaryota; Metazoa; Chordata; Mammalia; Primates; Hominidae. The record is from RNAcentral.